GUACAGGAAGGCAGGCAAACUGGAAAACCUAGUAUUGCACAGCAGAGAGCUGUAGUUCUCACGGCUGGGCAAAUUGAUACUUCCUCCACCUCCUGUUUCUCUGUAGCUAGUGCAGCCGACGUCAUUUGUUCUUCCAAGGAAUUCCCCUUAUUAAUCAGUGUUUUGAGAUCACUUCUGUGAAAACUAUCCCAACUCUCCCUGUUAAGUGUCUCCAGCCUCGUAUCAGAGCUAUUACUGACCUGAAACCAGAAGGAAAUGAGUUGCCUCUGUGCUUGCUUUAGAGUCAGAGGUCCUCACACAGAGACAGAAGAAAUAAAAAGGCAAAGCUCUGCUCAGGAGCAUGAGAUUAUUGAAUUAAAAGAAGAUAACGUGGAGGAAAGCGAGGCUGAUCAUGACAAGCCUCUAAAUGCUCCAACGAGAAAGGAGAGAGAUCAUUGGAAGUCCUGCAGGAGUGUAGUUUUCUGGAAGUGUAAACUAUGGAUGGUUAUAACUGCAAUAUUUCUAGUAAUCUUCCUCGUCAUUCUCAUCAGCCUAAUUCUUUAUUCUAAUGUUUACACAGAUGAGGAUGACUAUUGGGAUCCUGAUGCACUACUAAACAGUGGAAAUUUUCACAAUUUUUCGGGAACAUUGGAGUUAAUGUGUGGUCUCCCACACUUUUUCUCUGAGGACAUUACUAAGAGGCUAACAGAGGUCUACAGUUCAUCUCCAGCUUUAGGACGUUACUUUAGGUCAGCUCAAGUGAUUUCUUUCAGUAAUGAAAGCUCCACUGUAAUUUAUCAGCUAGUGUUUUCUGUACCACCAACAACAGAAGGAUUUAUGGAAAACAUUAUGAACCCAGAUUUUAUAAGGAACAUUUUACGUCAAAAUAUUUAUGAUGAAGAUGAUACUUUUAAUCCUGAGACAUCUGAAUGUGACAAGUUAAAGCUUGACCGAACUUCUCUCACAUAGAAAUGAUGGAAAAGUUCCUCGUCUUCAUCACCACAUAGAAGAGAUGACAUCUCCUAUCUGUUAGUAAUCCCAGGGCAGGGAGCUAUUCAUUAGGAACAUGACUGACACCACGUCUUUCUGAUACAUUAAUGUUUUGAUUCAGUUACCCCGGAGAGCAGCAAAAAAAAAAAAUUGCUUUUAGUCUUUACCUUGAUGGUACUUGAUGGAUAGCUGUAGGUCUCUGCUGAGGAGAGAGGAAGAAAACACGUGAUUGUCAUGCUUUGGUGCAGCGACAUGAGACAAGGAUUUUUGGCAGCACAGGACUUAGCUACAGACGGAGCACAGGCUGUGCAAAAGCAUGAGCUCACGUGGCAUUAGUUGGGGAAAGAGUUGAACCUCUGAGGGCUAAAUAAAUCUGAUGAUUUAUCUUCUCUCUAGUUCAACACACACUUGUGUCAUGCAGUAGUGCUCAACGACCUCAAGAAAACCUAGAUUUGCAGCCUUAUUGGGUUUUUCUUUUUGUUGUUUUGUUUUUGGGGGUUUAAUUAACUGAAGUCAGUUGUACAUGUCUGCUUAGAAAUGGAUGAUCUUGCUUGCUCACGCUCUGACUCUGCUUUAGCUUUAUGGCCAACGAAACCUGAAUUGUGCCUGGGAUCACCGGCUGGGCGCUGGGGCUCAGAGGCACUACAUGAUGUGCCACAUGCCUGACUGUGCACUGGGUGUCUGCGUGCAUGGGUCUGGCAGGCUUGAGCCGUUCUGGAAAUUUGCCUCUCUGUCCCAUAAGUGUCUAAAUGGCAGAGGGCUGUCAUUUGCAUCAUGCUCUCAGCCUUGUUUUUAUCAGUCUAGUUCAUUCUUGUUAUGAGGCUGAUUGCUCCUCUAAAAUUUUAGAGCUGAGUUUUCACUUUUGCCUAAGAGAAUGGGAUUUUUAAGCAUACUUUUUUUGCAACCUGACAGAAGGAGAGACAUCUGUCUCCCGGUAUUGUGUUAAAGCUGCUAUCUUAGAGAAUUUGAGGUGUUUUCAAACAUUAUUGUGCUGCCUUAAGACUGCCAUGAAAUUGCUGAUGUAAAUGACUAACAAGAAACUGUUUUUUGCUAAGCAAAUACUGCAGCUCGUGAAAAUGGUAAAAGUAUUAUGUCUUUGCUACAUGAAUGGCUUCACCCACAGGGGAAAAAUGUAGCAGUCUGAAUCGAAACCAAGACCUCCUGAUUCACAUGAACACAUGUGAUCCUGGCUAUCAUGUGAGUCUUCCCUAUUUGCAUAUUCAAUAUGCAGAAACUGUUUUAUUAGGAGAAUGUGUCAUACUGACGUGUGUUUAGAGAAAGUUCUAAACUGUGCUUGUGUAGGGGAAUGAGGGCUGGUGUGUGACCAAAUGCAGGCUGUGCUGUGCUGGCAGCCCACUUCCUUCAGCAGCCCUCCACCUCAUUUGCAGGGGAUGAAGCAGAGGCUCCCCUGCUCUGGUUCAAGUGCUUGCAAUCCUGUUUGGGAUGUAGGAAGGCCAGGUUCACCACUGCAGGAGGCAGCUGCAAAGCGGUGGCUGAGGCACGCAUGGUUUUGUAGCUGGAGAGGACAGCUGCCCCCUCAUGCUGCCUUCUCCAGAAACAAAAUAGACCAGAGGCCCCAAGAUAUCCCCAAGAUAUCCCCAGGAACGCAGAUAUCCCCCAUUGGAUGCAAGGAGGUUUCCCUCGGCUGGAGCGCAAAAUGCCUGGUCGUGGCUGCUGCCCACCACAUCCGCAGCGAUGCUGGAUGCUGGCAGAGAGCUCCCCCUUGCCCCCACCCAUGCGAUGCCACAUCACCCCCGAGGUGCUCAAGGAACCUCUUUACUUACUUUGCUUGUGGGAAUAUCUUUUUCUCCUGAUCGGGAUGGGUAUUUUCCACCUAGGGCAUGAAAAUAAAGGUGAGAAGGUAGGUCUGGCACUUCAUAGUCCUCAUCCUCACUGCCAAUCCAUGGGCACCUGUGUUCCCAUAGGGAGACCCCUUCUCCAGCUUUUUGGAUAAGGCACUUUAUUCAGCUUCUCUGCUGCUGUUCUCCCCUGGAGGCAGUCCCUGGCAAGGCAUCCAGUUCUGCCCUGGAAGCUGCAGGAGCAGGGGCUGUCGCAGGGGGGUAGAGGCACAAAUCACCACUCGGAGGAUGGAGGGAUGGCAGGGACAAGCUGGUGGCUGUUGGCAGGUGUUACAGCACGUAGCUAUUCGUGGGAAGUACAGCCUGUGUCCCCCUGUGAGGAGCCUGGCAGCACCUCUGCAAAGUUUGUGGAUUUGAGGAGCAAUCAGCCUUUCUGGGCUUGUCUGUAUUAAGUACCUCUAGAUGAGUGAGUGAGCGAGCAGUAAAUAUUGGAGAGAGAUAGCGGAGAACCAGUCUCAUGCUCCCACAAAUGAUCUACAUCAAUCUGACCUUUAGUGUGUCUUGGUGAAAAGCAAAAGGAAGAAAAACACAGCAGUUGUGCAACACAAAUUGCAAACACACGGGUGAGUGCAAGGCUAGCAGACACGACAGCUUCUGGGACAUCUGUCUCCAGCAGCUGAAAUAAUCCUUGCUGUUUCAAGCAGAAGACUAUACUUCCAGGUUUAGGUACUGAAAUUAUUUGGCAAAUUUGGAGCCUUUACAUUAUGUUCAGAUUGCUGUUACCGUGUUUCUUGGUAAUAAGAACUAGGCUUGCCGGGGUGUGCGUUAUCGCUUAUGGUUUAAAAUGUUGUGUUUGUACAAUGCCUGUAAUGUACAAGCAUUUUGCAAUGUAGUGUUAAUAUUUAUAUCUUAGUUUUACAUAUAUAAUAAAAAUGCACUAAGGGGUGUGAAGCUGCCAAGUCAUAUGAACUUGAGAAAUAUGCCCAACUUGCUGACGGAGGUACAUUAUGAGUGGGUCUCUAAUUGCUUAUUUGCAUAUUCUCUUUCCCAGUACUGAGGUAAAUAGGUGAUGCCAUGAUCUUUUGUUGUUGAUACUUUCCCUGAUAAAUGUGUGCUCUUUGGUCUCAUUUCUUCUGUAUACUACCUAAGUUCGGCAACUCGCCUGAAAUAAUUUCUUUCUAUAUAUGCCUCUGGUGCUUUUAUAAGACUAGCAGAAAGUUUUGAAAAUAUUAGUAAACUUCCUAACUUUCUGUUUAGUGGGAGGAUUUAGAUUGCUUUCAUUACAGCUGUGUAUAAAAAUAAAGUUAUAAUCCUACCUCCUUCCAGGUUGCCUACUUGAUUUUCUCUGAAUUAUGUGUAGUGGUUUUCCUACACUGAGCACAAACUCCUCUACCCUAGUUGGAGAUGCAAGGGGGACUGUUUCAUGUAAUUCAGUCCUAGAAUUCCUAUGAGAUACAUUUAAAAUAAAAUAUGUAUGUAUAUUUAUAAUACACGUAAUUCACAUUUGGAGUCUAUUGUAACUGUCAAGCAUCAUGAGUUUAAGUAUUUUCUUUUCUAACCUUUAUUUAUUCCACUUUUUCUUGUUUAUAUUGAGUUGGCUUCUGAUUUUCUUAGUCUCUGGCUCAGGGGGAAAGGCUGUUG
Molecule: RNA transcript, 4409 nt
Organism: Lepidothrix coronata (blue-crowned manakin)
Lineage: Eukaryota; Metazoa; Chordata; Aves; Passeriformes; Pipridae
Gene: CUNH3orf52
Gene name: chromosome unknown C3orf52 homolog
Exons: 7
Source: RefSeq, a predicted model, not a curated record